AAUAGAUACCCGGGUAGUCCACGCCGUAAACGUUGGAUACUAGGUGUGGCGGUUAUACCAACGACUGCCGUGCCGAAGCUAACGCAUUAAGUAUCCCGCCUGGGGAGUACGGCCGCAAGGCUAAAACUCAAAGGAAUUGACGGGUCCCCGCACAAGCGGCGGAGCAUGCGGCUUAAUUCGAUGCAACCCGAAGAACCUUACCUGGGUUUGACAUCACGGGAAAAGCUGUAGAAAUACAGUGUCCGUAAGGGCCCGUGACAGGUGGUGCAUGGCUGUCGUCAGCUCGUGUCGUGAGAUGUUGGGUUAAGUCCCGCAACGAGCGCAACCCUUGUCCUAUGUUGCCAGCAGUUCGGCGUGGGGACUUCGGUAGGAGACUGGCCGGGGUAUAACGUCGGAGGAAGGUGAGGACGACGUCAAGUCAUCAUGCCCCUUAUAUCCGAGGGCUGCACGCAUGCUACAAUGGCCGGUACAACGGGCAGCGACCCGCGAGGGUGAGCGAAUCCUAUAAACGCCGGUCCAGUUCGGAUUGAAGUCUGCAACUCGACUUC
Molecule: ribosomal RNA, 548 nt
Filed under: uncultured bacterium
Lineage: Bacteria
Description: bacterial SSU rRNA
Rfam family: Bacterial small subunit ribosomal RNA
Source: RNAcentral